This 460-nucleotide ribosomal RNA is filed under the name uncultured bacterium. Its description in RNAcentral is "partial 16S ribosomal RNA". It matches the Rfam family "Bacterial small subunit ribosomal RNA", at positions 338 to 795 of the family's 1533-position model. The record is from RNAcentral.
CCUACGGGUGGCAGCAGUGAGGAAUAUUGGUCAAUGGGCGCGAGCCUGAACCAGCCAAGUCGCGUGAGGGAAGACGGCCCUACGGGUUGUAAACCUCUUUUGCCGGGGAGCAACGGGCGCCACGUGUGGCGCCACUGAGAGUACCCGGCGACAAAGCAUCGGCUACCUCCGGGCCAGCAGCCGCGGUAAUACGUAGGAUUCGAGCGUUCUCCGGUUUUAUUGGGUUUAAGGGGUGCGUAGGCGGGGCGUUAAGUCCGUGGUAAAAUUGGGGGGCUCACCCCCGGCCCGCCAUUGAAACUGGCGAGCUGGAGUGGAAGAGAAGUAGGCGGAAUGCGUGGUGUAGCGGUGAAAUGCAUAGAUAUCACGCAGAACCCCGAUUGCGAAGGCAGCAUGCCGGCUUCCGACUGACGCUGAAGCACGAAAGCGUGGGGAUCGAACAGGAUUAGAUACCCCAGUAGUC